Molecule: ribosomal RNA, 605 nt
Filed under: Marinobacter sp.
Lineage: Bacteria; Pseudomonadati; Pseudomonadota; Gammaproteobacteria; Pseudomonadales; Marinobacteraceae
Description: bacterial SSU rRNA
Rfam family: Bacterial small subunit ribosomal RNA
Source: RNAcentral
CGCAGCUUACCAUGCAAGUCGAGCGGUAACAGGGGGUGCUUGCACCCCGCUGACGAGCGGCGGACGGGUGAGUAAUGCAUAGGAAUCUGCCCAGUAGUGGGGGAUAGCCCGGGGAAACCCGGAUUAAUACCGCAUACGCCCUUUGGGGGAAAGCAGGGGAUCUUCGGACCUUGCGCUAUUGGAUGAGCCUAUGUCGGAUUAGCUAGUUGGUGGGGUAAAGGCCUACCAAGGCGACGAUCCGUAGCUGGUCUGAGAGGAUGAUCAGCCACAUCGGGACUGAGACACGGCCCGAACUCCUACGGGAGGCAGCAGUGGGGAAUAUUGGACAAUGGGGGCAACCCUGAUCCAGCCAUGCCGCGUGUGUGAAGAAGGCUUUCGGGUUGUAAAGCACUUUCAGUGAGGAGGAAAACCUUCUGGUUAAUACCCAUGAGGCUUGACGUUACUCACAGAAGAAGCACCGGCUAACUCCGUGCCAGCAGCCGCGGUAAUACGGAGGGUGCAAGCGUUAAUCGGAAUUACUGGGCGUAAAGCGCGCGUAGGUGGUUUGAUAAGCGAGAUGUGAAAGCCCCGGGCUUAACCUGGGAACGGCAUUUCGAACUGUCAGG